GCCGAAGUGGUGGAAUUGGUAGACACGCUAGGUUCAGGGUCUAGUGCACGUAGGUGCGUGGGAGUUCGAGUCUCCCCUUCGGCACCA
RNAcentral lists this transfer RNA (87 nucleotides) under Desulfuromonas sp. RNAcentral describes it as "tRNA-Leu". It matches the Rfam family "tRNA". From Rfam's summary of the family: Transfer RNA (tRNA) molecules are approximately 80 nucleotides in length. Their secondary structure includes four short double-helical elements and three loops (D, anti-codon, and T loops). The record is from RNAcentral. Lineage: Bacteria; Pseudomonadati; Thermodesulfobacteriota; Desulfuromonadia; Desulfuromonadales; Desulfuromonadaceae.